This 327-nucleotide ribosomal RNA is filed under the name uncultured eukaryote. RNAcentral describes it as "partial 18S ribosomal RNA". It matches the Rfam family "Eukaryotic small subunit ribosomal RNA", at positions 1470 to 1796 of the family's 1831-position model. The record is from RNAcentral.
CCCUUAGAUGUUCUGGGCCGCACGCGCGCUACACUGACGAAUGCAACGAGCCUAUAACCUUGGCCGAAAGGUCUGGGUAAUCUCCAAAUUUCGUCGUGAUGGGGAUAGAUUAUUGCAAUUAUUAAUCUUCAACGAGGAAUGCCUAGUAAGCGCAAGUCAUCAGCUUGCGUUGAUUACGUCCCUGCCCUUUGUACACACCGCCCGUCGCUCCUACCGAUUGAAUGGUCCGGUGAAGCGUUCGGACCGUGGCCUUUGGACGGUUCGCCGUCUGUUGGCUGCGGGAAGUUCGUUAAACCUUAUCAUUUAGAGGAAGGAGAAGUCGUAACA